AACGAACGCUGGCGGCGUGGAUAAGACAUGCAAGUCGAACGGGAUUAUUUUUGUAGCAAUACAGAAAUAAUUCAGUGGCGAACGGGUGCGUAACACGUGGGCAAUCUGCCGAAAAGUGGGGAUAGCUCGCCGAAAGGCGAAUUAAUACCGCAUGUGGUGAGGGACGACAUCUUCCUGAAUCCAAAGGCCGGGGCAACCUGGCGUCUUUUUGAGGAGCCCGCGGCCUAUCAGCUAGUUGGCGGGGUAACGGCCCACCAAGGCUAUGACGGUAGCUGGUCUGAGAGGACGACCAGUCACACUGGAACUGA
Molecule: ribosomal RNA, 308 nt
Filed under: uncultured bacterium
Lineage: Bacteria
Description: bacterial SSU rRNA
Rfam family: Bacterial small subunit ribosomal RNA
Source: RNAcentral